RNAcentral lists this ribosomal RNA (654 nucleotides) under uncultured archaeon. RNAcentral describes it as "bacterial SSU rRNA". It matches the Rfam family "Archaeal small subunit ribosomal RNA", at positions 508 to 1160 of the family's 1478-position model. The record is from RNAcentral.
GCCUAAAGCGUCCGUAGCCUGCCCUGUAAGUUUUCGGUUAAAUCUGUAUGCUCAACAUACAGGCCGCCGGGAAUACUGCAGGGCUAGGGAGUGGGAGAGGUAGACGGUACUCGGGAGGAAGUGGUAAAAUGCUUUGAUCUCUCGAUGACCACCUGUGGCGAAGGCGGUCUACCAGAACACGUCCGACGGUGAGGGAUGAAAGCUGGGGGAGCAAACCGGAUUAGAUACCCGGGUAGUCCCAGCCGUAAACUAUGCAAACUCAGUGAUGCAUUGGCUUGUGGCCAAUGCAGUGUUGCAGGGAAGCCGUUAAGUUUGCCGCCUGGGAAGUACGUACGCAAGUAUGAAACUUAAAGGAAUUGGCGGGGGAGCACCACAAGGGGUGAAGCCUGCGGUUCAAUUGGAGUCAACGCCAGAAAUCUUACCCGGAGAGACAGCAGAAUGAAGGUCAAGCUGAAGACUUUACCAGACAAGCUGAGAGGUGGUGCAUGGCCGUCGCCAGCUCGUGCCGUGAGAUGUCCUGUUAAGUCAGGUAACGAGCGAGAUCCCUGCCUCUAGUUGCCACCAUUACUCUCAGGAGUAGUGGGGCGAAUUAGCGGGACCGCCGCAGUUAAUGCGGAGGAAGGAAGGGGCCACGGCAGGUCAGUAUGCCCCGAA